Fragaria vesca subsp. vesca is the source of this 1862-nucleotide RNA transcript. It is a transcript of the gene named pentatricopeptide repeat-containing protein At2g29760, chloroplastic-like, with no coding region annotated. NCBI's taxonomy places the organism in Eukaryota, Viridiplantae, Streptophyta, Magnoliopsida, Rosales, Rosaceae. The record is from RefSeq and is a predicted model, not a curated record. The transcript has 3 exons.
AUGUCUCUAUCAGGUGCAGAGGUGUACUGCAAGCCCAAACUUAGUGAUGGGAUAAAGAAACUCGUUCAAUUCAACAAGAACUGGAGGUGGCUGAUUUGGGGUUUCCAAAGUGGUAAAAUACAGCGCCACCAAAACCACGGAUCACCACCUUGGUCUCAACCAAGGAGCUUCACGCCCCACCUCAUCAGAACCCACCUCCACAAAGACCCAUCUUCAAUCUCCGACGUUCUGAGAUUCUACACACUAUCUCCACCAUACUUAAACAAUGCCCACUUCCUCUUCAAUCAAAUUGUACGACCCACAUUGAUGAUUUGGAACCUCAUGAUCCGUGGAAUAUCGCAGAGUGAAAAACCCGGUGAAGCGAUUCGUAUGUAUAGCAGAAUGAGGCAACAAGAAUUGGUUGGGAACAAUUUGACCUUCAUAUUCAUCUUCAAGGCCUGUGCUCGAGUUUCGGAUGUUGUAUGUGGCCAAAAGGCUCAAGCUUGUGCUUUGAAACUUGGGUUUGAAUCGUAUAUGUAUGUUUCUAAUGCUUUAAUUCGUAUGUAUUCGAGUUGUGGUGAUUUGGGUUUUGCACAGAAGGUGUUCGAUGAAAUGCAUGAGAGGGAUUUGGUUUCGUGGAACUCUUUGAUAUGUGGGUAUAGUCAGGGUAAUAGGUAUAAGGAGGUUUUGGGUCUUUUUGAGGCGAUGAAGAUAACAGAGAAUGUGAGGGCUGAUGCGGUGACGAUGGUGAAAGUUUUUUUGGCAUGUGUUCAGUUAGGUGAAUGGGGAAUUGCGGAUUGUAUGGUGAAGUAUGUGGAAGACAAUCGUGUUGGUGUUGAUGUUUAUUUGGGGAAUACGAUGAUAGAUAUGUAUGGGCGGCGUGGUUUGCCGCGUUUGGCUAGGGAAAUUUUUGAUAGGAUGCGUGAAAGGAAUGUAGUAUCAUGGAAUGCAAUGAUCAAUGUAUAUGCAAAAGUUGGAAAUUUAGUUGAUGCAAGAAAGCUUUUUGAUAGGAUGCUGAAUAGGGAUGUGAUAUCUUGGACUUCCAUGAUCACGGGUUAUUCUCAAGCUAACCAACAUGCUGAGGCGGUGAGUCUUUUUCGCAAAAUGAUGGCAGCUAAUGUAAGGCCGGAUAAAGUGACAGUGGCUAGUGUGCUUUCUGCUUGUGCCCAUGCGGGUUCACUCGAUGUGGGAGAGGCUGUGCAUGAGUAUAUAAGGAAGCAUGGAGUGAAAACAGAUGUUUAUGUAGGGAAUGCUUUGAUAGAUAUGUAUUGCAAAUGUGGGGUGGCUGAGAAGGCAUUGGCAGUGUUUCAAGGGAUGGAUAAGAAAGAUUCAGUGUCAUGGAUUUCGGUGAUAUCAGGCCUUGUGGUAAAUGGUUUUGCAGAUUAUGCACAUGAUUUCUUCUCACAUAUGUUAAAAGAAGGUAUUCGACCAACUCAUUCAAGUUUCGUUGGGAUUUUAUUAGCUUGUGCUCAUGCUGGAUUAGUGGAUAAGGGAUUGGAAUAUUUCGACAGCAUGGAAAAAGUUCAUGGACUAAUACCAGAGAUGAAACACUGUGGGUGUGUUGUGGAUCUUUUGGGUCGUUCUGGUAAACUGCAGGAGGCAUACGAGUUCGUGCAGAAUAUGCCUAUGGUACCAGAUGUUAUAGUAUGGAGAAUUUUGCUGGGUGCUUGUCAAGUUCAUGGAAAUUUGGUUUAGCUGAGAUUGUGUCAAACAAGCUUAUCGAAUUGGACCCUUCUAACAGCGGGAACUAUAUUCUCUCAUCAAAUAACUAUGCACUUUCACAUAGAUGGGAUUGUGUUGCAAAAAUGAGAGGAUUGAUGGACGAGUGCAACGUGCAGAAGCCAUUUGGUAGUAGCUCCAUUGAAAUUAAUGGUGCAUUAUAA